This is an RNA transcript of Mangifera indica (mango), 2021 nucleotides long. It is a transcript of the gene named F-box protein At2g17036-like, with no coding region annotated. The record is from RefSeq and is a predicted model, not a curated record. NCBI's taxonomy places the organism in Eukaryota, Viridiplantae, Streptophyta, Magnoliopsida, Sapindales, Anacardiaceae. The transcript is spliced from 3 exons.
AAUAUAUAAGUUAUACAUAUAAUUAUAAUUUUUCAAGUUAAACCGAACUCAGCCGUUUCCGCGCCGUCUGCAGCUUGUUCUGCUUCCCCGUCCCUCUCCCCUCUCCGAAAGAGGCCCCUCCUUGGAUAGUCACAGUUGAAAAAUCAAGCCAGGGGAAAACCCGGGUCCAGGAUCCCUACUCUCGCCGCCAUUUUGAAGAGCGAGUUCUUGAAAUGUUGCCUUAGUCAGUGAACUUGCUGGAAUAUCGUGUGCAGGAAAUCGGUAAGGGGCAUAGAAUUGAUUGGAUUCCUGAUGAACAUCCAAGGCAGUUUAGUGGGUGGAAGUAUAUUUUGUUGCAAAAAAGUCAUCGUCUCUGCAGAUAACGAUGAGUUAGCAGUUAUGGUUUUUCUGAAUUUGGAGUUGAUGGUUUGGAGGAGCUGUGAUAAGAAAUGGGUCGACUUGGGUUGUGCCAAUGUUGAUGUUCAGGAUAUUGUUUAUUGUUAGAAGCAGUUUCAUGUAGUGAUGUCAGAUGGGCAUAUUUUAAGUGUUGAUCCGAAGUCUUUGGAGGCUAGUGAAACUUUGCCUCUAUUUUUGAUUCGUUUUACUUACAAAAGCUUUGUAAAUACAUCGAUUGAUUUGUAUUUGAUUAAAAAUCGCAGUAGUAGUGACAACAAAUUUGGAAAUAAAAGAAAUUUCUCUCCAGCUAGGGCUGAGAAAGUGGUUUUGAAUUCUGUUUUCUAUGUGUUUAAGCUUGAUGAAGAAGAACAAGAGUGGAUUGAAGUGAAGGAUUUGGAGGGUAAAGCAUUGUUUCUGUUUGAUGGUGGUAGCUUUUUUUUUUUUUUUUUGGCUAAAGACUUUUUGGGAAUAAAACCAAAUUGUGUUUGUAUGGGUGAAACUGGUUUCUUUGGGGUUACAUAUGAUUUUCCUGGGAUGUAUACUUCAGUUUUCGACUUCAGUGACAGUAGUAACAAGUGGCUUGUAUCAUUUCCUGAAUCUUCUGAGAUAUUUUGGCCUUCACUAGUUUGGCUCUUUCCUGAAUUUUCAGAUAGUCAACUUGUAGGGAAUGGUUGCAAAACUCCAUGAUCUCUCUUCUCUCAGCCAUGAUUCAUUGUCACAGGGUACUCUGUUUUUCAAUUUCAGUCCUUGAUAGUCUCUCUAUAUUUUCAUAUGUCAAAAACAAAUAUUUAUCUGUAAACUAAGUUUACUUUUUAUCUCUUCUUUCGUGGAUCGUAUCCUCUUGAAUAACUGUCACCAUUUUGUCAUGAGUUAACUGUUUUAUUUAAUAAUUUGUUUUUGUGAUUUAAUGAAACUUUCUUAUAUCUGGUUGAUUAAUUUGUGUCUAGUGGCGGAUUCUCAAGUUUUUGUGGCUUCAGUAUGUUCAGCCCUUGGUGCUUUUGCCAGCUUCUAUGUGGAUUUUUUCCAUGAUGCAUCUACUGAUUGAUCCCUGGAUUCUUACUCUAUCAAACCUUUACUGAAUUGAAUCUUUUUCAUCAUUGUUUACAUACGAAGCAUUAUUUUGUUCCGAGUUUAAUGGAAAGGUCUGUUCUCAUAUUCACCUAGAAAAUUUUGCACUAUCUUUCCAAGUCACAUUCAUCAUAACUUUUUGUUCUUCUUAGUACUUCAACAAACGCCUGCAAUUGAGCUUUAUUAUUACAUGUUAGGUACUUGAAGAGCUUCUAUGGAUCAAUUCGAAGACAUUUUACCAAAGAAGUUCUGUGAUUAACUUCUUGUAGAGCAUUUUCAUUGUCAAUGUGAAGAUUUGAUAAACAGCUUGGUCAGACCAUGCCCGGAAUAUUUGUACUUGAAGAGCUUCUAUGGAUCGAUUUGAAGACAUUUUAUUGAAGAAAUUUCUGGAAUCGACCACUUGAAGAGCGUUUCAUCGUCAAUGUGAAGAUUUGAUUAACAUAUUGGUCGGACCAUGCCCAAAAUAUUAAGAAUUCUAUUUUAUUAGUUGGUAGUUAUGCUGUUUUUAAUUUGUGAGCAUGUAUAUAUGCAUUAUGGAUCUUACUGUUGUGAAAUAAGAUUUAAGCUUGAUCAUUUAA